This 818-nucleotide ribosomal RNA is filed under the name Enterococcus sp. H04_32. Its description in RNAcentral is "bacterial SSU rRNA". It matches the Rfam family "Bacterial small subunit ribosomal RNA", at positions 74 to 870 of the family's 1533-position model. Lineage: Bacteria; Bacillati; Bacillota; Bacilli; Lactobacillales; Enterococcaceae. The record is from RNAcentral.
CGGAGCUUGCUCCACCGGAAAAAGAAGAGUGGCGAACGGGUGAGUAACACGUGGGUAACCUGCCCAUCAGAAGGGGAUAACACUUGGAAACAGGUGCUAAUACCGUAUAACAAUCGAAACCGCAUGGUUUUGAUUUGAAAGGCGCUUUCGGGUGUCGCUGAUGGAUGGACCCGCGGUGCAUUAGCUAGUUGGUGAGGUAACGGCUCACCAAGGCUACGAUGCAUAGCCGACCUGAGAGGGUGAUCGGCCACAUUGGGACUGAGACACGGCCCAAACUCCUACGGGAGGCAGCAGUAGGGAAUCUUCGGCAAUGGACGAAAGUCUGACCGAGCAACGCCGCGUGAGUGAAGAAGGUUUUCGGAUCGUAAAACUCUGUUGUUAGAGAAGAACAAGGAUGAGAGUAACUGUUCAUCCCUUGACGGUAUCUAACCAGAAAGCCACGGCUAACUACGUGCCAGCAGCCGCGGUAAUACGUAGGUGGCAAGCGUUGUCCGGAUUUAUUGGGCGUAAAGCGAGCGCAGGCGGUUUCUUAAGUCUGAUGUGAAAGCCCCCGGCUCAACCGGGGAGGGUCAUUGGAAACUGGGAGACUUGAGUGCAGAAGAGGAGAGUGGAAUUCCAUGUGUAGCGGUGAAAUGCGUAGAUAUAUGGAGGAACACCAGUGGCGAAGGCGGCUCUCUGGUCUGUAACUGACGCUGAGGCUCGAAAGCGUGGGGAGCAAACAGGAUUAGAUACCCUGGUAGUCCACGCCGUAAACGAUGAGUGCUAAGUGUUGGAGGGUUUCCGCCCUUCAGUGCUGCAGCUAACGCAUUAAGCACUCC